GGCCGAAGCUAUAAUUCUAGUUGAAAUCGACUUACCUUCAACUCGGAUGGAACACUAAGAUGAAUCAACCAAUUCAAACAAAAAAUGAGCAGACUUGAAAUUGCUCGAGAAAACCUAAGAACGAGCUCGACUGAGAAUAGCCUCCUACCAACAAAGGAUAGUUCGAUAUUAUAACUUCCGAGUCAAACCAAAAAUCUUCCAAGUAGGAGACUUAAUCUUCAGAAGAGC
This 228-nucleotide long non-coding RNA is filed under the name Elaeis guineensis (African oil palm). RNAcentral describes it as "long non-coding RNA (EGUI_LNC016609)". Lineage: Eukaryota; Viridiplantae; Streptophyta; Magnoliopsida; Arecales; Arecaceae. The record is from RNAcentral.